GCCUGGCUCGGGCCGGCGAUCGGCCCGCGCCGGUUUGAAGUCGGCGCAGAGGUGAGGGCGGCAUUUAUCGCGGCGGACCCCGACGCCGGGCAGGCU
This 96-nucleotide transfer RNA is filed under the name Serratia rubidaea. Its description in RNAcentral is "tRNA-Ser(tga)". Lineage: Bacteria; Pseudomonadati; Pseudomonadota; Gammaproteobacteria; Enterobacterales; Yersiniaceae. The record is from RNAcentral.